GCCGCGGUAGCUCAGCCGGCAGAGCGCGUUCUUGGUAGGAACGAGGCCGCCGGUUCGACGCCGGCCCGCGGCU
Molecule: transfer RNA, 73 nt
Filed under: Microbacterium hominis
Lineage: Bacteria; Bacillati; Actinomycetota; Actinomycetes; Micrococcales; Microbacteriaceae
Also listed under: 1 other name
Description: tRNA-Thr
Source: RNAcentral